UACGGGGGGGGGCAAGCGUUGUUCGGAAUUACUGGGCGUAAAGGGCGUGUAGGCGGCUAUACAGGUCCGCUGUGAAAACUCGAGGCUCAACCUCGAGACGUCGGUGGAAACCGUAUGGCUAGAGUCCGGAAGAGGAGAGUGGAAUUCCUGGUGUAGCGGUGAAAUGCGCAGAUAUCAGGAAGAACACCCGUGGCGAAGGCGGCUCUCUGGGACGGUACUGACGCUGAGACGCGAAAGCGUGGGGAGCGAACAGG
Molecule: ribosomal RNA, 254 nt
Filed under: uncultured bacterium
Lineage: Bacteria
Description: partial 16S ribosomal RNA
Rfam family: Bacterial small subunit ribosomal RNA
Source: RNAcentral